RNAcentral lists this ribosomal RNA (106 nucleotides) under Candidatus Kaiserbacteria bacterium. The record is from RNAcentral. Lineage: Bacteria; Candidatus Kaiseribacteriota.
GUUGGUGCUUCAUCGAAGAGGGUACACCUGUUCUCAUUCCGAACACAGAAGUUAAGCUCUUCUGAGGCGAUGGUAGUCGUAAGGCGAGAGUAGCUCGGCGCCAACA